GACGAACGCUGGCGGCAGGCCUAACACAUGCAAGUCGAACGCCGUAGCAAUACGGAGUGGCAGACGGGUGAGUAACGCGUGGGAACAUACCCUCCGGUUCGGAAUAACUCAGGGAAACUUGAGCUAAUACCGGAUACGUCCAAGGUUUUAAUCGGCCUCGGAGAAAGAUUUAUCGCUGGAGGAUUGGCCCGCGUCUGAUCAGCUUGUUGGUGAGGUAAUGGCUCACCAAGGCGACGANCAGUAGCUGGUCUGAGAGGAUGAUCAGCCACAUUGGGACUGAGACACGGCCCAAACUCCUACGGGAGGCAGCAGUGGGGAAUAUUGGACAAUGGCGAAAGCCUGAUCCAGCCAUGCCGCGUGAGUGAUGAAGGCCUUAGGGUUGUAAAGCUCUUUCGGUGGGAACGAAACGGUCACGGCUAAUACCUGUGACUAAUGCGGUACUCACACAAGAAGCACCGGCUAACUACGUGCCAGCCGCCGCCGUAAC
RNAcentral lists this ribosomal RNA (487 nucleotides) under uncultured bacterium. Its description in RNAcentral is "bacterial SSU rRNA". It matches the Rfam family "Bacterial small subunit ribosomal RNA", at positions 28 to 524 of the family's 1533-position model. The record is from RNAcentral.